This 522-nucleotide long non-coding RNA is filed under the name Trifolium pratense (red clover). RNAcentral describes it as "long non-coding RNA (TPRA_LNC013381)". Lineage: Eukaryota; Viridiplantae; Streptophyta; Magnoliopsida; Fabales; Fabaceae. The record is from RNAcentral.
UAACAUAAAAAGAGAGGAAAGUUUACUAAAAAAAAUAAAAAGAGAGGAAAAUAUGGUUGCGAUAUCCAAGUUCAUUUAUGCUAUGUUUCUAUUUCUUUCUCUAAUUCUUAUUGUAAUGAAUGUUGAUGGUAAGUCAUUUACUUCUUUGAUUUGUCGUUUGUACACAAUAUUUUGUCUAGUUUUAGAAACAUUAUUUUAAUCUCUUUCUUGAUUGCAGCAUUUUCGGGAUGUAUUAGUGACUUCGAUUGUGAAAGUGCUGAGUGUUGUGCAAAUUGUGGUAUGAUAUGUCUAAAUAAUCGGUGUCAAUGUAUAAAAAUUCACUAGUUCUAUAAGUACAAGAUCAAAGAGAGUACACCAAGACCUUAUAUCGCAUCCGCAAUAAUAAUCCAUUAGUUGUUAUAAAAUUAUUAUUGUGGAACCAAAUAAAUGUAUUUUUUUUUUCUUUUCCUAAUUUCAUAAACCUUGUAGUUAUCGUUUUUGUACUCUCUAAUAAGAUGAUUGUAGUGAAAUGAAAUAUGGUCA